AGACUUUUCUGCCAAUAAGAGGUCAAUGCUCUGUAGCCAGCACUUUCAGCCGGAGUAUUUUGACCGGACAGGCCAAAUUGUCAGGCUCAGGGAUGGAACUAAACCAUCUGUGUUCAGUUUCCCAACACAUCUCAAAAGAAAAGUGGCAGCCAGGACUACACAAGCCUCAAGGAAGGCUGAAGCGAGCCUUGUAAUUGACUGUUCUUUACAAUCAUUACAAGUCACUGAACCUUCACCUACCUACCUUGAACACACUUAUGCAUUGCCUCCAUCUCCCACUCUUCUCAAGACUAGACUCAAUGAAGCCCUGGCUAGGGUGGAGAGUCUUGAGAAAGAGAUGAGGAACUCAAUGGCCCGAGAGUGGAGGGCGAAGAAAACAGUGCGUUGUCUUCUGGAGGACCUCAGGGG
Molecule: long non-coding RNA, 408 nt
Organism: Gadus macrocephalus (Pacific cod)
Lineage: Eukaryota; Metazoa; Chordata; Actinopteri; Gadiformes; Gadidae
Exons: 3
Source: RefSeq, a predicted model, not a curated record